This 467-nucleotide ribosomal RNA is filed under the name uncultured bacterium. Its description in RNAcentral is "partial 16S ribosomal RNA". It matches the Rfam family "Bacterial small subunit ribosomal RNA", at positions 28 to 507 of the family's 1533-position model. The record is from RNAcentral.
GAUGAACGCUGGCGGCGUGCUUAACACAUGCAAGUCGAACGGAAAGGCUCCUGCUUGCAGGGGUACUCGAGUGGCGAACGGGUGAGUAACACGUGGGUGAUCUGCCCUGCACUUCGGGAUAAGCCUGGGAAACUGGGUCUAAUACCGGAUAGGACCACAUUUUGGAUGGUGUGGUGGAAAGUUUUUCGGUGUGGGAUGAGCUCGCGGCCUAUCAGCUUGUUGGUGGGGUAAUGGCCUACCAAGGCGUCGACGGGUAGCCGGCCUGAGAGGGUGUACGGCCACAUUGGGAGUGAGAUACGGCCCAGACUCCUACGGGAGGCAGCAGUGGGGAAUAUUGCACAAUGGGAGCAAGCCUGAUGCAGCGACGCCGCGUGGGGGAUGACGGCCUUCGGGUUGUAAACUCCUUUCGCUAGGGACGAAGCGUUUUUGUGACGGUACCUGGAGAAGAAGCACCGGCUAACUACGUG